This 700-nucleotide ribosomal RNA is filed under the name uncultured bacterium. Its description in RNAcentral is "bacterial SSU rRNA". It matches the Rfam family "Bacterial small subunit ribosomal RNA", at positions 94 to 829 of the family's 1533-position model. The record is from RNAcentral.
AGUGGCAGACGGGUGAGUAACACGUGGGAACCUUCCUAGGGGUACGGAACAACUCAGGGAAACUUGAGCUAAUACCGUAUACGUCCGUGAGGAGAAAGAUUUAUCGCCCUUAGACGGGCCCGCGUCGGAUUAGCUAGUUGGUGGGGUAACGGCCUACCAAGGCGACGAUCCGUAGCUGAUCUUAGAGGAUGAUCAGCCACACUGGGACUGAGACACGGCCCAGACUCCUACGGGAGGCAGCAGUGGGGAAUCUUGGACAAUGGGCGCAAGCCUGAUCCAGCCAUGCCGCGUGAGUGAAGAAGGUCUUCGGAUUGUAAAGCUCUUUUGCCAGGGACGAUAAUGACGGUACCUGGAGAAUAAGCCCCGGCAAACUUCGUGCCAGCAGCCGCGGUAAUACGAAGGGGGCUAGCGUUGUUCGGAAUUACUGGGCGUAAAGCGCACGUAGGCGGGUCGUUAAGUCAGGGGUGAAAUCCCGGAGCUCAACUCCGGAACUGCCUUUGAUACUGGCGAUCUCGAGAUCGGAAGAGGUGAGUGGAAUUCCCAGUGUAGAGGUGAAAUUCGUAGAUAUUGGGAAGAACACCAGUGGCGAAGGCGGCUCACUGGUCCGAUACUGACGCUGAGGUGCGAAAGCGUGGGGAGCAAACAGGUUUAGAUACCCUGGUAGUCCACGCCGUAAACUAUGGAAGCUAGCCGUCAGUCA